This 214-nucleotide ribosomal RNA is filed under the name Paenisporosarcina quisquiliarum. Its description in RNAcentral is "partial 16S rRNA. Bacterial SSU". It matches the Rfam family "Bacterial small subunit ribosomal RNA", at positions 1 to 207 of the family's 1533-position model. Lineage: Bacteria; Bacillati; Bacillota; Bacilli; Caryophanales; Caryophanaceae. The record is from RNAcentral.
CUAUUAUGGAGAGUUUGAUCCUGGCUCAGGACGAACGCUGGCGGCAUGCCUAAUACAUGCAAGUCGAGCGAAUGACGAAGAAGCUUGCUUCUUCUGAUUUAGCGGCGGACGGGUGAGUAACACGUGGGCAACCUGCCCUGUAGAUUGGGAUAACUCCGGGAAACCGGGGCUAAUACCGAAUAAUCCAUUUCCUCACAUGGGGAGAUGUUAAAAG